AAGAACGAUGACAUGUAACCAAUGACAAAGUUAAGAGGCGUGACUUGCUGGAGGCCCCCCGCAUGCGAUGUAAAGACAGUAAUUAACCCACGCAGCAUCCACAGAAGUCAGCUGUUGUUUCAAGCGCGGAGUAUAUCGUUUCUGUUAGAUUGAGGACAGCCUGGUGAUGAUACAGAGUAUGGACACCCUACCUUGUGGCUGCACAUCAUGAGGGGAUUUUUUUUUCAUUGUUUUCUUUCAUGCUUGAAAGCUGAAGGUAAUUUUAACCUGAAUAGUGUAUCGUUGUUUACACGUUAAGCUAGAGAAAUGGCGAAAGAUAAUGCUAACAACAGACCAGACACGGAACAGCCAACAACCUCUACACACAAUCAAUCGAUCAAACCCCAAAAUACAAAUGAAUCAAUCAAUCAAAUGUAUUUAUAAAGCCCUUUUUACAACAGCAGUUGUCACAAAGUGCUUUACAGAGACACCCGGCCUUAAACCCCAAGGAGCAAACAACAGUAGUGUUGAAUUUCAGUGGCUAGGAAAAACUCCCUAAGAAGGUCGAAUUUUAGGAAGAAACCUAGAGAGGACCCAGGCUCAGAGGGGUGACCAGUCCUCUUCUGGCUGUGCCGGGUGAGAUAUUAAGAGUCUAAUUGGAAUAAUAAAUACAUUUCUCUGGGCUAAAUCCAGAGUCUAUUUGAUUUUAGACUAGGUCAGAAGUAUGACCAGGUGGACAAGGACAGGGACAGCAACGGGCCCCCCAAACCAGGUAAUCCGCAGGUGUGGACCAGGACCUCAUCUCCUCCUAAAAUUUAAAACCGGAGGGGACUGAGAAAAGUUAGUAGUACAUCCAUCAUAUCCCCCAGCACAAUAAUAUAGCAGCUUAAAACACCUUGGAACUUUGGAGACACCUUGGAGACGGGGGGGUCUGGUGACACUGUGGCCCAACCCGGGGGAGGCCCUGGACAGGGCCCUACAGGCAGGAAAUCAAUCCAACCACAUUGCCAGGCAUCAACCAAAGGGACACCCACCAACCGCAACCCCCCUGAAUGAGGGCCGAGUAUUGCUAGCAGCGUACAGCCCAAUUGCACAAGUGCGCAACAGAGAGUCAACAACAAGCCAGUGACUCUUCCCCCGAAAGGCAUUGGAGGGAGGGCAUCCCAGUGGCGACGAGAGCCCACCUGGCAAAACAGCAAGGGUGGACAGUAUCAAGCCUACUGGUCACCUUCACGCCCCCGGGCUAGGCUACACCUAAUUAUAAGCCGUGCUGUAGAGAUGAGUUUUUAGUAGACACUUGAAAGUUUGCACUGAGUUUGCAUUUCUAACCUGAAUUGGCAGAUCAUUCCACAGGAGUGGAGCUCUAUGAGAAAAGGCCCUGCCGCCAACUGUUUGUUUAGAAAUUCUAGGUACAUUUAAAAGGCCUGCAUCUGCCAACAACACUCUUUGUUUUUUUAGUCCUAAAAGGAGCAUUUCUGUUUUAUUUGAGUUUAAAAGCAAGAAAUUCUCUGUCAUCCACUUCCUAAUAUCUGAAACGCAUGCUUCCAAAAUAGCUAAUUUAGGGGCUUCUCCAUGCUUCAUUGAAAUAUAUAACUGUGUGUCAUCAGCAUAACAGUGAAAGUUAAUAUUGUGAUUUCGGAUUACAUCGCCCAGAGGGAGCAUAUAUAGUGAGAACAAUAAUGGGCCCAGAACCGAG
Long non-coding RNA from Esox lucius (northern pike), 1675 nucleotides. The record is from Ensembl. Lineage: Eukaryota; Metazoa; Chordata; Actinopteri; Esociformes; Esocidae.